UACGAAGGGUGCAAGCGUUACUCGGAAUUACUGGGCGUAAAGCGUGCGUAGGUGGUUUGUUAAGUCCGAUGUGAAAGCCCUGGGCUCAACCUGGGAAUGGCAUUGGAUACUGGCAGGCUAGAGUGCGGUAGAGGGCAGUGGAAUUUCCGGUGUAGCAGUGAAAUGCGUAGAGAUCGGGAGGAACAUCUGUGGCGAAGGCGACUGCCUGGACCAGCACUGACACUGAGGCACGAAAGCGUGGGGAGCAAACAGG
This 253-nucleotide ribosomal RNA is filed under the name uncultured bacterium. Its description in RNAcentral is "partial 16S ribosomal RNA". It matches the Rfam family "Bacterial small subunit ribosomal RNA", at positions 524 to 776 of the family's 1533-position model. The record is from RNAcentral.